RNAcentral lists this ribosomal RNA (482 nucleotides) under uncultured bacterium. RNAcentral describes it as "partial 16S ribosomal RNA". It matches the Rfam family "Bacterial small subunit ribosomal RNA", at positions 28 to 523 of the family's 1533-position model. The record is from RNAcentral.
GACGAACGCUGGCGGCGUGCUUAACACAUGCAAGUCGAACGGAAAGGCCCAGCUUGCUGGGUACUCGAGUGGCGAACGGGUGAGUAACACGUGGGUGAUCUGCCCUGCACUCUGGGAUAAGCCUGGGAAACUGGGUCUAAUACCGGAUAUGAUCAACUGUCGCAUGGUGGUUGGUGGAAAGCUUUUGCGGGGUGGGAUGGGCCCGCGGCCUAUCAGCUUGUUGGUGGGGUAAUGGCCGACCAAGGCGACGACGGGUAGCCGACAUGAGAGGGUGAUCGGCCACACUGGGACUGAGACACGGCCCAGACUCCUACGGGAGGCAGCAGUGGGGAAUAUUGCACAAUGGGCGCAAGCCUGAUGCAGCGACGCCGCGUGAGGGAUGACGGCCUUCGGGUUGUAAACCUCUUUCACCAGGGACGAAGCGUGAGUGACGGUACCUGGAGAAGAAGCACCGGCCAACUACGUGCCAGCCGCCGCGGUAA